AUUGAACGCUGGCGGCAUGCCUAACACAUGCAAGUCGAACGGCAGCACGAGGCUCGUCCUUGCGUCGCUUAGGGGUCGGGUGCGUGAGGCAAAUGUCCGUGACCCGGCGUGAGGGAUGGGGAGACGUACGGGAAACGGAUACCACAUCCGCCUAACGUCUGAAGACCAAGGAGCGAAAGGUCAGGCCCUAUUGGCAUGGCCCGUGUCGGAUUAGCUAGUUGGUGGGGUAACGGCUUACCCAGGCGACGAUCCGUAGCUGGUCUGAGAGGAUGACCAGCCACACUGGAACUGAGACACGGUCCAGACUCCUACGGGAGGCAGCAGUGGGGAAUCUUGCACAAUGGGCGCAAGCCUGAUGCAGCCAUGCCGCGUGCGUGAAGAAGGCCUUCGGGUUGUAAACCUCUUUUAGUCGGGAAGAAGUCAUCUGGGCUAAUACCUCGGCGGAUUGACGGUACCGGAAGAAGAAGCACCGGCUAACUACGUG
This 484-nucleotide ribosomal RNA is filed under the name uncultured bacterium. Its description in RNAcentral is "partial 16S ribosomal RNA". It matches the Rfam family "Bacterial small subunit ribosomal RNA", at positions 30 to 507 of the family's 1533-position model. The record is from RNAcentral.